AGGCCUCUCUCAGUGUGUAGCCAUAAACUAUUUAACGGCUGUAUGGAAGCGUUUAUUAAGGACUCAGGACAAGCUAUCCCGCUUGUAGUCGAAAGCUGCAUUCGGUACAUCAAUUUAUACGGACUCCAACAACAAGGGAUCUUCCGAGUUCCAGGAUCUCAGGUUGAAGUCAAUGACAUAAAAAAUUCCUUUGAGAGAGGCGAAGACCCACUUGUGGAUGAUCAAAACGAACGAGAUAUCAAUUCAGUCGC
This is a long non-coding RNA of Enhydra lutris kenyoni (northern sea otter), 251 nucleotides long. RefSeq lists it as uncharacterized. Lineage: Eukaryota; Metazoa; Chordata; Mammalia; Carnivora; Mustelidae. The transcript is spliced from 4 exons. The record is from RefSeq and is a predicted model, not a curated record.